This 600-nucleotide ribosomal RNA is filed under the name Bacillus amyloliquefaciens. RNAcentral's name for it is "bacterial SSU rRNA". It matches the Rfam family "Bacterial small subunit ribosomal RNA", at positions 38 to 621 of the family's 1533-position model. Lineage: Bacteria; Bacillati; Bacillota; Bacilli; Caryophanales; Bacillaceae. The record is from RNAcentral.
AGAGAAGGGCCUAAUCAUGCAAGUCGAGCGGACAGAUGGGAGCUUGCUCCCUGAUGUUAGCGGCGGACGGGUGACUAACACGUGGGUAACCUGCCUGUAAGACUGGGAUAACUCCGGGAAACCGGGGCUAAUACCGGAUGCUUGUUUGAACCGCAUGGUUCAAACAUAAAAGGUGGCUUCGGCUACCACUUACAGAUGGACCCGCGGCGCAUUAGCUAGUUGGUGAGGUAACGGCUCACCAAGGCGACGAUGCGUAGCCGACCUGAGAGGGUGAUCGGCCACACUGGGACUGAGACACGGCCCAGACUCCUACGGGAGGCAGCAGUAGGGAAUCUUCCGCAAUGGACGAAAGUCUGACGGAGCAACGCCGCGUGAGUGAUGAAGGUUUUCGGAUCGUAAAGCUCUGUUGUUAGGGAAGAACAAGUGCCGUUCAAAUAGGGCGGCACCUUGACGGUACCUAACCAGAAAGCCACGGCUAACUACGUGCCAGCAGCCGCGGUAAUACGUAGGUGGCAAGCGUUGUCCGGAAUUAUUGGGCGUAAAGGGCUCGCAGGCGGUUUCUUAAGUCUUAUGUGAAAGCCCCCGGCUCAACCGGGGAGG